UACGUAGGGUGCGAGCGUUGCCCGGAUUUAUUGGGCGUAAAGGGCGCGUAGGCGGCUCGGCACGUCCGUUGUGAAAUCGCCCGGCUCAACUGGGCGGGGUCGGCGGAUACGGCCGAGCUGGAGCAAGCUAGGGGGUAAUGGAAUUCCCGGUGUAGUGGUGGAAUGCGUAGAUAUCGGGAGGAAUACCUAUGGCGAAAGCAGGCUACUGGACCG
Molecule: ribosomal RNA, 213 nt
Filed under: uncultured prokaryote
Description: partial 16S ribosomal RNA
Rfam family: Bacterial small subunit ribosomal RNA
Source: RNAcentral